AUGGCACCAUUCAACGAUUCUAGGAUAGAAGGAUUCAGUGAAUCUAUUAGAUUGGUUACUCCAUCUGUCAUGAUCCAUGCAUAUCCUUUGUUCAUCAUCCCUACUUCUCUUGCCUUUAUGAAGAAGAGGGAGGCCAAGGGAACACGGGCAUCAACUUCUUGUAGCACAUCAACAAGGAAUUUAUGUCUCACUCCUUGCAGCUGAAAGCUGGAACAUGCAACCGCGUGCUCAUUUACACAGCAACAAAACUGGCGCCUGUGGUCCUGAUGCAACACCCCUGGUGAACAGAAUCCAAUAAUUCUUGGACGUUAUCUUUGGAAUAGUUUGAUGUGAUGUGGAAAUCCAAUUGCUCUUAAUAGUAAUGUUAUGCGAUGCGCAGUUGCUUCCUAAUUGUACUUGUUGGUAUGAUU
Molecule: long non-coding RNA, 410 nt
Organism: Triticum dicoccoides
Lineage: Eukaryota; Viridiplantae; Streptophyta; Magnoliopsida; Poales; Poaceae
Exons: 3
Source: RefSeq, a predicted model, not a curated record